AUCCAGCCGAUGAGUCUCAAAUAGGACGAAGCGGCACGCGUCCUAGAU
Non-coding RNA from Schistosoma curassoni, 48 nucleotides. NCBI's taxonomy places the organism in Eukaryota, Metazoa, Platyhelminthes, Trematoda, Strigeidida, Schistosomatidae. The record is from Rfam.